CAGUAGCCACGGGAAUACGGAGGGUGCAAGCGUUAAUCGGAAUUACUGGGCGUAAAGCGCACGCAGGCGGUCUGACAAGUCAGAUGUGAAAUCCCCGGGCUUAACCUGGGAACUGCAUUUGAAACUGUCAGGCUGGAGUCUUGUAGAGGGGGGUAGAAUUCCAGGUGUAGCGGUGAAAUGCGUAGAGAUCUGGAGGAAUACCGGUGGCGAAGGCGGCCCCCUGGACAAAGACUGACGCUCAGGUGCGAAAGCGUGGGGAGCAAACAGGAUUAGAUACCCCUGUAGUCCCUGUCUCUUAUAA
RNAcentral lists this ribosomal RNA (301 nucleotides) under uncultured bacterium. RNAcentral describes it as "partial 16S ribosomal RNA". It matches the Rfam family "Bacterial small subunit ribosomal RNA", at positions 509 to 809 of the family's 1533-position model. The record is from RNAcentral.